This 72-nucleotide transfer RNA is filed under the name Camelus bactrianus (Bactrian camel). It matches the Rfam family "tRNA". From Rfam's summary of the family: Transfer RNA (tRNA) molecules are approximately 80 nucleotides in length. Their secondary structure includes four short double-helical elements and three loops (D, anti-codon, and T loops). Further hydrogen bonds mediate the characteristic L-shaped molecular structure. tRNAs have two regions of fundamental functional importance: the anti-codon, which is responsible for specific mRNA codon recognition, and the 3' end, to which the tRNAs corresponding amino acid is attached (by aminoacyl-tRNA synthetases). tRNAs cope with the degeneracy of the genetic code in two manners: having more than one tRNA (with a specific anti-codon) for a particular amino acid; and 'wobble' base-pairing, i.e. permitting non-standard base-pairing at the 3rd anti-codon position. RNAcentral also lists the same sequence under 1 other name. Lineage: Eukaryota; Metazoa; Chordata; Mammalia; Artiodactyla; Camelidae. The record is from Rfam by way of RNAcentral.
AAGGGUUUAGCUCAGUGGUAGAGUGCCUGCUUACCGUGCAUGAGGUCCUGGGUUCAAUCCCCAGUACCUCCA